Molecule: long non-coding RNA, 1752 nt
Organism: Oreochromis niloticus (Nile tilapia)
Lineage: Eukaryota; Metazoa; Chordata; Actinopteri; Cichliformes; Cichlidae
Source: Ensembl
UGUAGGCACAGAUACAUUGAUGAUAAUAUGGUGGCUUUGUAAUAGGUAAUUUUAAUUUACAUCCUUCCUUACAGCAUGGGAGACUUGACUGAAUUCCUGAAACAAAGAGAAGUCUCUGAGGAAAUUAUACAGACCUUGGAGAAUGAGAAGAUUGAUGCCAGUGUCAUAAGUCUAAUGACAGAUGAGGAGCUGAAGACUUAUUUGCCAUCAUAUGGUGAUCGUCUAGCAGUAUUUGGAUUUUGCAGACGGAGGGGCAGCAGCCGCAAGUCAGCGCUUUUUGAACGGCUGAAAUCCAAAGCGUCCAAAAGAAAAUUAUCUGAAGAGGAUGGCAGUAGCACACGGCAAGAAGAACAUUCCCAAACAACCCAUAAAAGAAAUGCUCUGAAGAGAAAUAGAAAAAUAGAAAUAGGAUGGAUGCAUUAUGAUGAAGACACUGAGGUUUUCAAGCAGGUUAGAGCUAGACGAGGAGGAGGAACAAGAAAAAUAGACAUUUGCAAGGAUGCCAAGAAAAGGGACAUAUUACAGGUUGCAACAGGCCUGUUCUUUCCAGAUGGAGGAAACAUUCAGGGGCCCUUAACAGAUUUUGACUGUGAUCUGAAGGAUUAUCAAGAGAUGAUAGUCGAUGAUGCAUUGACAGUAGGAGAACUUUAUCAUGUCACAAAACUAAAUAUCCGCAGGUUCUACCUCACCACAAAGAAAAAACAAAAUGACAGCCUUCAGAGUUCCAGCCCGAGUUUGCAUCCAUCUUCAGAAAUUGAAGAGAGUCCUCAAAACCAAACCUCUUCUUUUACUGUCACUACAGUCCAAACAUCUGCUCCAUUUGAAACGGUCAGCCAUGAUGUGACAUACAUUGAAGACACUCCAAACGAUAACCUUCCACAAUCUUCCACGCAGUCUCUAAGUGCUAACACUUCUCACAGCAGUGACAUUAUUUUUGUUGGCCCCUUUUCUGACAGUGAGCCAAUAAAUUUGGAUGACACCCUGAUUUUUUCUCCACACCCUGGUCCAUCCAGUGAGAGAGUGAGGAGAGUAGUGGUGGUCCACAGAGGGCAGGUAAUGUCAGAGCUCAUUUCACAUUUUAGUGAUAAGGACCUUGAAGAUGUCGACAUCAAAAUCCAGAUCGUACUGCCUGAUGGAACACCUGAAAUGGCCCAUGACGAUGGGGGAGUUGUGAGAGAUUGUCUUUCAGAAUUCUGGAAAGAAUUCUAUGACCAGUGCACCACUGGAAAUGUUUACAAAGUGCCCUUCUUAAGGCAUGAUUUUGGGCAACAGGAGUGGGAGAGUGUGGGCAGAAUCAUUGCAUUUGGAUGGGUUAGAGAGAAAUAUCUGCCUGUGAAAAUUGCACCUGCCAUUCUAGAACAAGCUGCCUUUGGAUAUGUAAAGAGUGAUAUUGUGGAGGAUUUCCUUAAGUUCAUGCCUGAAUCUGAGCGUACAGUGUUAGAGGCGUGGCGAUCAGACUUUAGCAUCGUGGACCAAGAAGAACUUAUAGACAUACUUGAUAACCACAGCUGCAGAAAGAUACCAACAGCCUACAAUGCCACUGAAGUCCUAUUGGAGCUUGCACACAAAACACUUGUCCAAGAGCCUGCGUAUGUUAUUGAACAGUGGGCAAGAACACUCAGCACUGCAUGGGAAAGCAUUUGUGAUCUAUCGUCACUUUUUGAAACCCUCCAACCAAAUGUGAGAAAAGUUCUCAAGUGUCUCACUUCUAAGAAAAAGUCUUUGGUGAAAUACCACUGUAAUGUAAUUUGA